RNAcentral lists this ribosomal RNA (479 nucleotides) under uncultured bacterium. RNAcentral's name for it is "partial 16S ribosomal RNA". It matches the Rfam family "Bacterial small subunit ribosomal RNA", at positions 28 to 507 of the family's 1533-position model. The record is from RNAcentral.
GAUGAACGCUGGCGGCGUGCUUAACACAUGCAAGUCGAACGAAGCACUUUAACCUGAUUCUUCGGAUGAAGGUUUUUGUGACUGAGUGGCGGACGGGUGAGUAACGCGUGGGUAACCUGCCUCAUACAGGGGGAUAACAGUUAGAAAUGACUGCUAAUACCGCAUAAGACCACAGAGCCGCAUGGCUCGGUGGGAAAAACUCCGGUGGUAUGAGAUGGACCCGCGUCUGAUUAGGUAGUUGGUGGGGUAACGGCCUACCAAGCCAACGAUCAGUAGCCGACAUGAGAGGGUGACCGGCCACAUUGGGACUGAGACACGGCCCAAACUCCUACGGGAGGCAGCAGUGGGGAAUAUUGCACAAUGGGGGAAACCCUGAUGCAGCGACGCCGCGUGAGCGAAGAAGUAUUUCGGUAUGUAAAGCUCUAUCAGCAGGGAAGAAAAUGACGGUACCUGACUAAGAAGCACCGGCUAAAUACGUG